GAUGAACGUUGGCGGUGUGCCUAAUACAUGCAAGUCGAACGGAGUUAAUAGCAAUAUUGACUUAGUGGCGAACGGGUGAGUAACGCGUUGGUGAUCUGCCUUGAAGUGUGGAAUAACGCUCCGAAAGGAACGCUAAUACCGCAUGUGCUCUCGAUUUUCAGAAAGUUGAGAGUAAAGGAUUUAUUCGCUUCAAGAGGAGCCUGCGUCCCAUCAGCUGGUUGGUAGGGUAACGGCCUACCAAGGCUAUGACGGGUAGGGGACCUGAGAGGGUGGCCCCCCACAAUGGAACUGAAACACGGUCCAUACACCUACGGGUGGCAGCAGUAGGGAAUAUUAGAAAUGGACGAAAGUCUGAUCUAGCAACACCGCGUGUGCGAAGAAGGCCUUCGGGUCGUAAGCACUUUUGGAAGGAAUAGGAAGGAAUGUACUCCUAGAAUAAGUACUCGGCUAACUACGUG
This 458-nucleotide ribosomal RNA is filed under the name uncultured bacterium. Its description in RNAcentral is "bacterial SSU rRNA". It matches the Rfam family "Bacterial small subunit ribosomal RNA", at positions 28 to 507 of the family's 1533-position model. The record is from RNAcentral.